AAAGAAUUUUCUCUCCACUGUUUCAAAAUAACAAGCUUUUAAAAAGACUGCCAUAAAUUGAUAUUAGAAAAAGUAGAAAAGAAUAAUUACCGGUCUGUGUCUUUGAUUUUGAGUAAUAUCGAUUUAAAAUUUGGCGGGAAAUGGUUCUCUGUAGAAGUUUCACACAUUUAACUUUUAACAUUGGCACCUUUUUCUUUCAAAAACUAUAUAUAAAAAAA
Molecule: long non-coding RNA, 218 nt
Filed under: Mytilus galloprovincialis (Mediterranean mussel)
Lineage: Eukaryota; Metazoa; Mollusca; Bivalvia; Mytilida; Mytilidae
Source: RNAcentral